CAAAAUCUGCAGAGCUGGGAAGAUUGUAUCCAGGUGAUCCAGGUAAAGUAAUUACCUACCAAAAGUACAGAGAGAACCUAAUGAGAGACCUGCUGGAGGAGCACCACACCCCUCGGCGCCCAUCCACUGGGGGCCGUCCUGCUGCAGACAAUCCCCUAUGCCUCACUGCCCAGAAUUUUCACUGCAAAGUCUGCCUGUCUGGCACCAAGAGAAGGAAACAGAGGAGGUUGACAAAGUACAUGUGUUUAGCUUGUGACACAUCUCUAUGUGUUUCACCAUGCUUUGGGAAUACCAUAUGCUCAAGCACUAUUGAGUACAUCUGCAGCAAUUACUGACUGACUGACCUGACAGGUGGUUUGACAGGUGACCUGCCAUGAUAUUAUGCCUUUAGAGGUGGGGGAUGGAAAUGCAGUUGUUGUUCAAUCACUGCAUGAAUAUGAAAUAUGGGUUAUGCAUAUUCAGUUUUUUUUCCUCUGGUAAAACAAGUUGUUGGUCAACCAUCACCAAUACGUCAAUAAAAUAGACGACUAUUA
Non-coding RNA from Salmo salar (Atlantic salmon), 533 nucleotides. The record is from RefSeq and is a predicted model, not a curated record. Lineage: Eukaryota; Metazoa; Chordata; Actinopteri; Salmoniformes; Salmonidae.